GCGGUAUGUAGUACAAUUUCGACCGGG
RNAcentral lists this transfer RNA (27 nucleotides) under Pterocarpus marsupium. RNAcentral describes it as "partial tRNA-His". The record is from RNAcentral. Lineage: Eukaryota; Viridiplantae; Streptophyta; Magnoliopsida; Fabales; Fabaceae.